Molecule: ribosomal RNA, 561 nt
Filed under: uncultured bacterium
Lineage: Bacteria
Description: bacterial SSU rRNA
Rfam family: Bacterial small subunit ribosomal RNA
Source: RNAcentral
AAUAGAUACCCCGGUAGUCCACGCCGUAAACGAUGGAUACUAGGUGUGGGGGUUUCAACACCUCCGUGCCGCCGUUAACACAAUAAGUAUCCCGCCUGGGGAGUACGGUCGCAAGAUUAAAACUCAAAGGAAUUGACGGGGGCCCGCACAAGCAGCGGAGCAUGUGGUUUAAUUCGAAGCAACGCGAAGAACCUUACCUAGACUUGACAUCUCCUGAAUUACCCUUAAUCGGGGAAGUCGGUACCUUUGGUAUCGACAGGAAGACAGGUGGUGCAUGGUUGUCGUCAGCUCGUGUCGUGAGAUGUUGGGUUAAGUCCCGCAACGAGCGCAACCCUUAUUGUUAGUUGCUACCAUUUAGUUGAGCACUCUAGCGAGACUGCCCGGGUUAACCGGGAGGAAGGUGGGGAUGACGUCAAAUCAUCAUGCCCCUUAUGUCUAGGGCUACACACGUGCUACAAUGGCAAGUACAAAGAGACGCAAGACCGUGAGGUGGAGCAAAUCUCAAAAACUUGUCCCAGUUCGGAUUGUAGGCCGAAACUCGCCUACAUGAAGCCGGAGUUG